RNAcentral lists this ribosomal RNA (254 nucleotides) under uncultured prokaryote. RNAcentral describes it as "partial 16S ribosomal RNA". It matches the Rfam family "Bacterial small subunit ribosomal RNA", at positions 524 to 776 of the family's 1533-position model. The record is from RNAcentral.
UACGAGGGGAGCAAGCGUUGUUCGGAUUUACUGGGCGUAAAGGGCGCGUAGGCGGCCACGACAAGUCACUUGUGAAAUCUCCGGGCUUAACUCGGAACGGUCAACUGAUACUGCUCGGCUAGAGUGCGGAAGGGGCAACUGGAAUUCUUGGUGUAGCGGUGAAAUGCGUAGAUAUCAAGAGGAACACCUGCGGCGAAGGCGGGUUGCUGGGCCGACACUGACGCUGAAGUGCGAAAGCCAGGGGGGCGAACGGG